This 376-nucleotide ribosomal RNA is filed under the name uncultured bacterium. RNAcentral describes it as "bacterial SSU rRNA". It matches the Rfam family "Bacterial small subunit ribosomal RNA", at positions 107 to 518 of the family's 1533-position model. The record is from RNAcentral.
UGAGUAACACGUGGGGAUCUGCCCAAUGGUACGGAAUAACUCAGGGAAACUUGUGCUAAUACCGUAUGUGCCCUUCGGGGGAAAGAUUUAUCGCCAUUGGAUGAACCCGCGUCAGAUUAGCUAGUUGGUGGGGUAAGAGCCCACCAAGGCGACGAUCUGUAGCUGGUCUGAGAGGAUGAUCAGCCACACUGGGACUGAGACACGGCCCACACUCCUACGGGAGGCAGCAGUGGGGAAUAUUGGACAAUGGGCGCAAGCCUGAUCCAGCCAUGCCGCGUGAGUGAUGAAGGCCUUAGGGUUGUAAAGCUCUUUCGCCGACGAAGAUAAUGACGGUAGUCGGAGAAGAAGCCCCGGCUAACUUCGUGCCAGCAGCCGC